GGAUGUGAGGGCGAUCUGGCCACAACAUCUGUCACCCCAUUGAUCGCCAGGCUUGAUUCGGCUGAUCUGGCUGGCUAGGAGGGUGUCCCCUUCCUCCCUCAACGCUCCAUGUGCGUCCCUCCUGAAGCUGCACUCUCGGUCGAACAGGACGACCACCCCUGAUAGAGGAGGACUGUUCCUCCGUCAAGGGUAUACGAGUAGCUGCGCUCCCCUGCUAGAACCUCCAAACAAGCUCUCAAAAAACAGAAGAAAAACAGCAAAAUUUCCCAUUACACAAUAACAACCCUUUAAAGUCUUACAAUCAAUAAGAAGCUGGCAAAU
Molecule: small nuclear RNA, 321 nt
Filed under: Chinchilla lanigera (long-tailed chinchilla)
Lineage: Eukaryota; Metazoa; Chordata; Mammalia; Rodentia; Chinchillidae
Description: 7SK RNA (ENSCLAG00000022131.1)
Rfam family: 7SK RNA
About the family: 7SK was discovered as an abundant small nuclear RNA in the mid-70s but a possible function has only recently been suggested.
Source: Rfam by way of RNAcentral